Molecule: ribosomal RNA, 431 nt
Filed under: Allium cepa (onion)
Lineage: Eukaryota; Viridiplantae; Streptophyta; Magnoliopsida; Asparagales; Amaryllidaceae
Description: eukaryotic LSU rRNA
Rfam family: Eukaryotic large subunit ribosomal RNA
Source: RNAcentral
GCGAGACAGGUUAGUUUUACCCUACUGAUGACUGCGUUGCGAUAGUAAUUCAACCUAGUACGAGAGGAACCGUUGAUUCACACAUUUGGUCAUCGCGCUUGGUCGAAAAUCCAGUGGCGCGAAGCUACCGUGUGUCGGAUUAUGACUGAACGCCUCUAAGUCAGAAUCCAGGCUAGAGAAGCGGCGCUUAAGCUCAAUGACCUCCUCUUGACCCACAGUAGGGAUGUGCAAGCAUUCCCACGGGCACAUGCCAAAGGACUUGACCUAUUCGACAAAUUUGUCGUAGGGUCUUCCUUAGAUUGAAAUUCCGUAAGGUCCAUUGAUUGAAUCCUUUGCAGACGACUUAAAUACACGAUAGGGCAUUGUAAGUGGUAGAGUGGCCUUGCUGCCACGAUCCACUGAGAUCCAGCCCUUAGUCGCAUAGAUUACCC